RNAcentral lists this ribosomal RNA (344 nucleotides) under uncultured fungus. Its description in RNAcentral is "SSU rRNA". It matches the Rfam family "Eukaryotic small subunit ribosomal RNA", at positions 292 to 636 of the family's 1831-position model. Lineage: Eukaryota; Fungi. The record is from RNAcentral.
GGUUCAUUCAAAUUUCUUCCCUAUCAACUUUCGAUGGUAAGGUAUUGGCUUACCGUGGUGACAACGGGUAACGGAGGGUUAGGGCUCGACCCCGGAGAAGGAGCCUGAGAAACGGCUACUACAUCCAAGGAAGGCAGCAGGCGCGCAAAUUACCCAAUCUCAACCGGGGAGGUAGUGACAAUAAAUACUGAUACAGGGCUCUUUCGGGUCUUGUAAUUGGAAUGAGUACAAUUUAAAUCCCUUAACGAGGAACAAUUAGAGGGCAAGUCUGGUGCCAGCAGCCGCGGUAAUUCCAGCUCUAAUAGCGUAUAUNAAGGUUGUUGAGGUUAAAAAGCUCGUAGUUG